RNAcentral lists this ribosomal RNA (342 nucleotides) under Triticum aestivum (bread wheat). RNAcentral's name for it is "partial small subunit ribosomal RNA". Lineage: Eukaryota; Viridiplantae; Streptophyta; Magnoliopsida; Poales; Poaceae. The record is from RNAcentral.
AUGCAAAUCAUCAUACUAAUUAGAAGAGCAUACGUUGUGCCUCCUUGGUCACUACAUCGAGCCCAGUCUUCUUGGCAGUCGCCUCGGCCUUGGCAGCAUGCAGCCCCUGCCCCUGGUGUGUCCACGAUGGUUCGGACGAUUCUCCAGUCCGUGCUACCAAUCCUUAUGAACUACCAAGUUUCAGUACCAGUGCAAAACAAGAGUAAAUAUUCACAUCAACCUAGUGCAAAGCUAGCUACCUCGCACUUGCAUCUGCCAUUCAGAAAAAUGUGUAUGACAAGAUGGUUUUAUAAGAUCUUAUUAUGCAAUUUCCCAAUGAAAGUUCUAAUGCAGACACAUUAA